UCUGAUGAGUUAAGCCUUUUUCAACUGAUUUUUAUAGUUCGUUCUUAUGUUGUACUGUUAUACCACUGUCCCAGGUUAGGGGAGGGUUGGAUCCCGCUUACAUGUUUAACCCCGCCACAUUAUUUAUGUAUGUGCCUGUCCCAAGUGAGGAGCCUGUAAUUCAGUGGUUGUCGUUUGUUUAUGUGUUACAUAUUUGUUUUUUCGUUCAUUUUUUUACAUAAAUAAGGUCGUUAGUUUUCUCGUUUGAAUUGUUUUACAUUGUCUUAUCGGGGCCUAUUAUAGCUGACUAUGCGGUAUGGGCUUUGCUCAUUGUUGAAGGCCGUACGGUGACCUAUUGUUGUUAAUGUCUGUGUCAUUUUGGUCUUUUGUUGAUAGUUGUCUCAUUGGCAAUCAUACCACAUCUUCUUUUUUAUAUAAUGAACGUU
Molecule: long non-coding RNA, 425 nt
Filed under: Mytilus galloprovincialis (Mediterranean mussel)
Lineage: Eukaryota; Metazoa; Mollusca; Bivalvia; Mytilida; Mytilidae
Source: RNAcentral